GGUAGGUCAAAAGAGUUUACUAUGCAUAUGAGUAUACCAUAGAUGGAUAGAGACAAUACUCAAGGCAGGGGUAAGAUAGAUAUAUAAGUAGCUAGUGUGACACACAUAGGAAUCAUCUCAAGAUAACUAAGGUAGGGAGAAGGACUAAGGGUUAGCUCUAGGUUUAUAUGUACUUCCUAUAUACUGCACAGAUCAUACAAGCAUAACAUACAUACACAUUGUAUAGAACUCAAGCCUAUGCACCCAGGCACACAAGGGGAGACAGUACCCGUACUGGUUCCACCCAGUAAAAUUACUGCUCAUUUAUGAACUCCUACAGCGUACCCGAACAUGGAGUAUUACAAAGGACCAAUAGGGCUAUCACCACCUGCAGCCUACUUCUGCGACCCAUGGGGCAAACUGAUAUCCAAUAAAGCACCAUGCUUGCAUUGUUAACAACACCCCAGCCGACCCAUUGUGACAAGGGCUGAAGCCACCAUAGAAAUGGC
RNAcentral lists this long non-coding RNA (488 nucleotides) under Setaria viridis. RNAcentral describes it as "long non-coding RNA (SVIR_LNC000718)". The record is from RNAcentral. Lineage: Eukaryota; Viridiplantae; Streptophyta; Magnoliopsida; Poales; Poaceae.